This 410-nucleotide ribosomal RNA is filed under the name bacterium enrichment culture clone ALO1_GLFRUDD03HIIZE. Its description in RNAcentral is "bacterial SSU rRNA". It matches the Rfam family "Bacterial small subunit ribosomal RNA", at positions 9 to 416 of the family's 1533-position model. The record is from RNAcentral.
GAGUUUGAUCAUGGCUCAGAUUGAACGCUGGCGGCAUGCCUUACACAUGCAAGUCGAACGGCAGCACGGGAGCUUGCUCCUGGUUGGCGAGUGGCGAACGGGUGAGUAAUGCAUCGGAACGUAUCCUGGAGUGGGGGAUAACGUAGCGUAAAGUUACGCUAAUACCGCAUAUUCUGUGAGCAGGGAAGCGGGGGACCUUCGGGCCUCGACGCUCUUGGAGCGGCCGAUGUCGGAUUAGCUAGUUGGUGAGGUAAAGGCUCACCAAGGCGACGAUCCGUAGCAGGUCUGAGAGGAUGAUCUGCCACACUGGAACUGAGACACGGUCCAGACUCCUACGGGAGGCAGCAGUGGGGAAUUUUGGACAAUGGGGGCAACCCUGAUCCAGCCAUGCCGCGUGAGUGAAGAAGGCC